GACGAACGCUGGCGGCGUGCUUAACACAUGCAAGUCGAACGGAAAGGCCCUGCUUUUGUGGGGUGCUAGAGUGGCGAACGGGUGAGUAACACGUGAGUAACCUGCCCUUGACUUUGGGAUAACUACAGGAAACUGGGAAUAAUACCGGAUAGGUGCUCAUGCUGCAUGGUGGGGGUUGGAGAGUUGCGGCGGUGGGGGAUGGACUCGCGGCUUAUCAGCUUGUUGGUGGAGUAGUGGCUUACCAAGGGUUUGACGGGUAGCCGACCUGAGAGGGUGACCGGCCACAUUGGGACUGAGGUACGGCCCAGAAUCCUACGGGAGGCAGCAGUGGAGAAUAUUGCGGAGUGGGCGGAAGCCUGUUGCAGCAACGCCGCGUGCGGGAUGACGGCCUUCGGGUGGUAAACCGGUUUCGCCGGUGACGAAGCGUGAGUGACGGUAAUGGGUAAGGAAGCACCGGCUAACUACGUG
Molecule: ribosomal RNA, 468 nt
Filed under: uncultured bacterium
Lineage: Bacteria
Description: partial 16S ribosomal RNA
Rfam family: Bacterial small subunit ribosomal RNA
Source: RNAcentral